CUGGUGUCAGCCGCCGCGGUAAUACCAGCACCCCGAGUGGUCGGGACGAUUAUUGGGCCUAAAGCAUCCGUAGCCGGCCCUGCAAGUCUUCCGUUAAAUCCAUCCGCUCAACGGAUGGGCCGCGGGAGAUACUACAGGGCUAGGAGGCGGGAGAGGCAAGCGGUACUCAGUGGGUAGGGGUAAAAUCCUCUGAUCCACUGAAGACCACCAGUGGCGAAGGCGGCUUGCCAGAACGCGCUCGACGGUGAGGGAUGAAAGCUGGGGGAGCAAACCGGAUUAGAGACCCGGGUAGUCCCAGCUGUAAACGAUGCAGACUCGGUGAUGGGUUGGCCUAGUGCUAGCCCAGUGCCGCAGGGAAGCCGUUAAGUCUGCCGCCUGGGGAGUACGGUCGCAAGACUGAAACUUAAAG
This 409-nucleotide ribosomal RNA is filed under the name uncultured Nitrososphaerota archaeon. Its description in RNAcentral is "bacterial SSU rRNA". It matches the Rfam family "Archaeal small subunit ribosomal RNA", at positions 452 to 861 of the family's 1478-position model. Lineage: Archaea; Thermoproteati; Nitrososphaerota. The record is from RNAcentral.